GACGGAGGGUGCUAGCGUUGUUCGGAAUUACUGGGCGUAAAGGGCGCGUAGGCGGCCGUUUGCGUCGGAUGUGAAAGCCCGGGGCUCAACCCCGGAACGGCAUUCGAUACGGGACGGCUGGAGACCGGGAGAGGAGGGUGGAAUAGCCAGUGUAGAGGUGAAAUUCGUAGAUAUUGGCUGGAACACCGGUGGCGAAAGCGGCUCUCUGGCCCGGUUCUGACGCUGAGGCGCGAAAGCGUGGGGAGCAAACAGG
Molecule: ribosomal RNA, 253 nt
Filed under: uncultured bacterium
Lineage: Bacteria
Description: partial 16S ribosomal RNA
Rfam family: Bacterial small subunit ribosomal RNA
Source: RNAcentral